RNAcentral lists this unclassified non-coding RNA (205 nucleotides) under Hevea brasiliensis (rubber tree). Lineage: Eukaryota; Viridiplantae; Streptophyta; Magnoliopsida; Malpighiales; Euphorbiaceae. The record is from RNAcentral.
AUGAGUUUGGUCCUGAAAGUACUGGUGUCAUGUCAUGUAUUUUUAGUAUUGAUUUGAAAAAGGAUAGUUCAUCAAGCAAACGACAUUUUGCACUAAUAUUUGGGUUGGCUGGAGCUGGUAUGGCAGUAUUAUGCAUGUCUUUAGUUUUGGGAUUGUAUAUCUGGUGGAACAAAAGGUGGAGGAAAAAUGAUGAUGUGGAAAUGGA